CAAAGGGUUUGGGGUUUGCACAAGAGCUGCACAAAGGUGAAGGUGUUUGCACAGGGAGGGUGCGGGCUGUGCAUGGGGCAGUGAAGGGGGAUGCACAGGGAGUGGUCUGGGUGCUGUUGGGGUACUCAGGGGUACAGGGAGGUUCCCAGAAGGGUGCAAUGCCCUCCAAGGCACGAUCCAGUGCAGGAUGCACACACCGGGACUGGUGUGUGGGACACAGCUGGUGGAAAUCUGGGGUUCUCCCUGGCACAAAGCAGCCAUCCCCUUCCCCCCCAGCACUUUCCAGGCUGCCCUAACAAAGCUGGGCAGCAAGAGCUGGACUUGAGCUGAAGCACAUGAGGGAGCAUCACCCCCUGACAGCAGCUGGAGAAUCCCUUGAUGGAGAAUCCCAGAUCCUGGUGCAUCCCAAGGGCAGCACUCUGGGAAGCAGAGCACCCAGACACGAGCCUUUGCACGGGGGCUGCAAGGGGAUGGGAUCUGUGUGUGCAGCCAUUCAUGGAAUCAUGGAAUUGUUUGGGCUGAAAGGGACCUUAAAGCUCAUCCAGUUCCACACCCCUGCCAUGGGCAAGGACACCUUCCAUUAGCCCAGGUUUUUAAAAAAUCAUGCUCAGACUUCUGCAUGCUGGACUGAGAAUUACUUUAGAUUCCCUGAAGCCUGACUCAUGGAGUGCUGCAGGUUCAGCAUGAAUCCUGGAGGAUUUUGCGUUUGGGAUGAUAAAUCCUGAUGGAGCUGCCUCUUGAAGCUGCCCCUUGGCUCUUCCACAUCUUAAUAAUAGUGCUGAUAAUAGGUGAGAAAUGGAUGUGAAAUAAAGAUUAUCAAAAAG
This is a non-coding RNA of Taeniopygia guttata (zebra finch), 824 nucleotides long. NCBI's taxonomy places the organism in Eukaryota, Metazoa, Chordata, Aves, Passeriformes, Estrildidae. The record is from RefSeq and is a predicted model, not a curated record.